Molecule: long non-coding RNA, 612 nt
Organism: Hemicordylus capensis (graceful crag lizard)
Lineage: Eukaryota; Metazoa; Chordata; Lepidosauria; Squamata; Cordylidae
Exons: 4
Source: RefSeq, a predicted model, not a curated record
AGGAAAGUGGGGAAGAAGAUGGACCGGAAGGAGGAGAGGGAGAGACAAACCAGACGCCAUUUCCUGACACCUGGCAAAUGGUGCCUGCAGCAGGGGCUUCGCUGGAACUCAGGAUAGGUAAACUGCUUUGGGAACUCUUGUUGAAAAGUGGUCUAGAAAUAUUCAUAGUACUAGUAGUUUCCACUGCCCACCAAGGUAGCAGCUUUCCUCCAGCAAAAGGAAGAAGAUGAGUCCAUUGCCCUGCCAUCAGGUAGAAAGAAGACUGAAGGCAGGAAGGAGUGCACAAAUGGCAGCUGACACCCACCACCAACAGGCCCAAGUAAAGACAGGGAAAGAAGUGGCAUCCAAAAACGGAUCGCUGGCAAGGUUAAAAGAGCACAAUAAAAUCUGUUAACUUAAGCAGCUGGCAGUGCAGCAAACAGCACUGCAGAGAUAACUUUAAUGAAGCAAAAUAAUAAUCAUGAUCAUCACAUAAUCAAGACUGGAGAAGAGGAGAACUACAGAGGGGCCUGCAUUGCGUAUCUGGCAAUUCUGUUUUGCUUCUUGUGUUAUUUUCUGCUGGUGACCACAAUAAAUACUCUUUCCUGAGUGCCAAUUAAUUCAAGUCACAAA